This 1006-nucleotide ribosomal RNA is filed under the name uncultured Sideroxydans sp. RNAcentral's name for it is "bacterial SSU rRNA". It matches the Rfam family "Bacterial small subunit ribosomal RNA", at positions 8 to 989 of the family's 1533-position model. Lineage: Bacteria; Pseudomonadati; Pseudomonadota; Betaproteobacteria; Nitrosomonadales; Gallionellaceae. The record is from RNAcentral.
AGAGUUUGAUCAUGGCUCAGAUUGAACGCUGGCGGCAUGCUUUACACAUGCAAGUCGAACGGCAGCACGGGGGCAACCCUGGUGGCGAGUGGCGAACGGGUGAGUAAUAUAUCGGAACAUAUCCGGAAGUGGGGGAUAACGUAGCGAAAGUUACGCUAAUACCGCAUAUGCCCUGAGGGGGAAAGGAGGGGAUCGUAAGACCUUUCGCUUUCGGAGUGGCCGAUAUCAGAUUAGCUAGUUGGUGGGGUAAAGGCCUACCAAGGCAACGAUCUGUAGCUGGUCUGAGAGGACGACCAGCCACACUGGGACUGAGACACGGCCCAGACUCCUACGGGAGGCAGCAGUGGGGAAUUUUGGACAAUGGGGGCAACCCUGAUCCAGCCAUGCCGCGUGAGUGAAGAAGGCCUUCGGGUUGUAAAGCUCUUUCGGACAGAAAGAAAUCGUGCAGGCUAAUACCCUGUAUGGAUGACGGUACUGUAAGAAGAAGCACCGGCUAACUACGUGCCAGCAGCCGCGGUAAUACGUAGGGUGCGAGCGUUAAUCGGAAUUACUGGGCGUAAAGCGUGCGCAGGCGGUUUUGUAAGACAGACGUGAAAUCCCCGGGCUUAACCUGGGAACUGCGUUUGUGACUGCAAGGCUAGAGUACGGCAGAGGGGGGUAGAAUUCCACGUGUAGCAGUGAAAUGCGUAGAUAUGUGGGAGGAAAUACCGAUGGCGAASGCAGCCCCCCUGGGUCGAUACUGACGCUCAUGCACGAAAGCGUGGGGGAGCAAACARGGAUUAGAUACCCCUGGUURGKCCACGCCCUAAAACGAUGUCGACUAGGUGUUUGGGGGGAGGAGACUUCCCUUAGUACCCGCRGCUAACGCGUGAAGCUUGACCGCCUGGGGGARGUACGGCCGCCAGGGUUGAAACUCAAAGGAAUUGACGGGGACCUGCACAAGCCGUGGGAUUAUGUGGAAUUAAUUUCGAUGCAACGCGGAAACCUUACCUACCCCUUGGACUGG